Molecule: non-coding RNA, 1743 nt
Organism: Cucurbita pepo subsp. pepo (vegetable marrow)
Lineage: Eukaryota; Viridiplantae; Streptophyta; Magnoliopsida; Cucurbitales; Cucurbitaceae
Source: RefSeq, a predicted model, not a curated record
ACGUGUCACUCAGGUGGCCCAGUCCCCGCCUUCGGUGGUUUCAAAUAUUUGCCACGUUUUCUCCUCUCUCUGUUUAAAACUGCUUUUCGUUCUCAUUUUCUCUCUCUAAACGGAAAAUGGAAAUGAAAGCGGAUGCGGUUAGUGAUUCAAAAGUCUCUGCCGCUUCCGAAGUAAUUUCGUUUUUUCUUCGUGAGAUUAUUUGGUGCCAGAAGUAGCUGCGAUUGUGUGCGCCGUCGUCAUGAGCGGCAGCGGAGAGGCGAGAGAAGAGUCGGCAGACAUUAGAGGAUCGAUCGGCAACAUUGCCGCCGUCGAAGCCGAAACAUGCAGAAUACGGCCAUGCACGAUCGUUCUGAGAGAGAAACAUGAGAAUGUUCUCUAAUCGAUCUUCUCGCGCAGUUCUUCGAGGAAAUAGCUUGCGAAUUUCCUUCGGUACUCCUUAUAUGAAGGUAAACGCUUCGAGCGCAAGUUUUAGUGUAUUUCGUGGUGCUUGAUGCCUUUUUGGCUCCAGAAAAGAGAAGGGCGCUCUUCUCGAUUAGUGCAUGUGAUUCAAAGAUCAUUGUUAAUUAAUGCGAGUUCGUUCUACAUAUCUCGAUGCAAAUUACAUGAUUAUUCUCAUCAUAAAUUCUUCAAUUGCAGUAUUGUUUAAUGGUUUCGCUCAUGCGUUUGAGGAUCAUUUUAUUUCAUUUUAUUUUACCGAAGGAAUAGGCCACAAUCAUUUACUAAUUACGAAACUAUAUUUUAGCACACUUAAGAAUGGAUUAAAAAUACUUAGAAACUGAGAUCUGAGGAACUGGCUCAAGAACAAUCAUGGAGAUUAUUCACGAAAUUUUUAUCAAAUCGUAAGAGUCGUUUAUAAGGUCUUAUAAAACUAGGGUUUAAGACGUAAAAAAUUAAGGUGUUGUCUGUUAACUAGGGUUUAAGGCAUAAAUUGUUUUUGCAUAAUUGUGCUUGUUUACGUUACAUGAAAGAUGUUAUGGAAGUAAUGAUUAACGAUUUGAUUGAUCUUUCCAGCAGGAAAAGUUUGUGCUCCCAAACUGUUGCAAGAAAAUGGAAAUUUCUUGUGGUUCUAGUGGUUUUUAUUUUAUAAUUGUUUAUUAUUCCGUCCGUUGGGGAUAUUUGUUUUCCUUUUGUCGCUUUCCGAAGGUCUCGAAAGCAGAUUGGAGAGCGAGGGCUCAAUCUCAUUAUACGGUGGGCGGUGGAUAAAGCUGAGGAGAUGCUGCCGCCGCAGCGAGGUCAGUAGAAAAAAGUUGAAAUUGCUGCAGCAGCUGCUGUUGCUGGUGUGGAAAGGACAUCAAAAUUCAAAAGAAGUAUGCUCCCGAAAGGUCAGAAUGACUUCUAAUAAAGCUGAAAAUGCAUUAAUAUGAUGGUUGCCUGUCAGAACUCAGCAGUAGUGCCGCUUGGUAAAGUUGAAGCAUCCCCAUUUUUUGAAGCCUAACCCCAUUUCACAAACUUCCCAGCUUGUCUCCAACACUCUGGAGAGUACCAGACGCCCUAGAGACCUUGGGUAUGGGCUAUUGAUUUCAGCAAACUAUAUGGAGCAAUGCCAUAGAUGGAAGCAUUCAAAAGCUUGUCGUCUGGAGACCGCUUUAGAUGAUUCAUUGACGUAAUUAAAAGAGGUCCCGGGCUCCAUUAUUGGACUGGUGAAACAUGUUUAGAUCUUCACUUGAAGACUCGUCCGGAGCUCCAUUGCUUCCUCCAAAUGCCAUCAUCGAAGAAAUUGGAACUGCCGGCAAUUGAUGGUGG